CCUACGGGAGGCUGCAGUGAGGAAUAUUGGUCAAUGGACGAGAGUCUGAACCAGCCAAGUAGCGUGAAGGAUGACUGCCCUAUGGGUUGUAAACUUCUUUUAUAUGGGAAUAAAACGUUCCACGUGUGGGAUUUUGUAUGUACCAUAUGAAUAAGGAUCGGCUAACUCCGUGCCAGCAGCCGCGGUAAUACGGAGGAUCCGCGCGUUAUCCGGAUUUAUUGGGUUUAAAGGGAGCGUAGGUUGAUUGUUAAGUCAGUUGUGAAAGUUUGCGGCUUAACCGUAAAAUUGCAGUUGAAACUGGCAGUCUUGAGUACAGUAGAGGUGGGCGGAAUUCGUGGUGUAGCGGUGAAAUGCUUAGAUAUCACGAAGAACUCCGAUUGCGAAGGCAGUUCACUGGACUGCAACUGACACUGAGGCUCGAAAGUGUGGGUAUCAAACAGGAUUAGAUACCCUAGUAGUC
This 460-nucleotide ribosomal RNA is filed under the name uncultured bacterium. Its description in RNAcentral is "partial 16S ribosomal RNA". It matches the Rfam family "Bacterial small subunit ribosomal RNA", at positions 338 to 795 of the family's 1533-position model. The record is from RNAcentral.